Molecule: ribosomal RNA, 495 nt
Filed under: uncultured bacterium
Lineage: Bacteria
Description: partial 16S ribosomal RNA
Rfam family: Bacterial small subunit ribosomal RNA
Source: RNAcentral
GACGAACGCUGGCGGCGUGCCUAAUACAUGCAAGUAGAACGCUGAAGGAGGAGCUUGCUUCUCUGGAUGAGUUGCGAACGGGUGAGUAACGCGUAGGUAACCUGCCUGGUAGCGGGGGAUAACUAUUGGAAACGAUAGCUAAUACCGCAUAAGAGUAGAUGUUGCAUGACAUUUGCUUAAAAGGUGCAAUUGCAUCACUACCAUAUGGACCUGCGUUGUAUUAGCUAGUUGGUGGGGUAACGGCUCACCAAGGCGACGAUACAUAGCCGACCUGAGAGGGUGAUCGGCCACACUGGGACUGAGACACGGCCCAGACUCCUACGGGAGGCAGCAGUAGGGAAGCUUCGGCAAUGGACGGAAGUCUGACCGAGCAACGCCGCGUGAGUGAAGAAGGUUUUCGGAUCGUAAAGCUCUGUUGUAAGAGAAGAACGAGUGUGAGAGUGGAAAGUUCACACUGUGACGGUAUCUUACCAGAAAGGGACGGCUAACUACGUG